AUACGGAGGGUGCAAGCGUUAUUCGGAAUCACUGGGCGUAAAGGACGCGUAGGCGGGUCGGCAAGUCAGAUGUGAAAUCCUACAGCUUAACUGUAGAACUGCAUUUGAAACUGCUAACCUAGAGUAUGGGAGGGGGAGAUGGAAUUAGUGGUGUAGGGGUAAAAUCCGUAGAUAUCACUAGGAAUACCGAAAGCGAAGGCGAUCUCCUGGAACAUAACUGACGCUAAGGCGUGAAAGCGUGGGGAGCAAACAGGAUUAGAAACCCUAGUAGUCC
This 274-nucleotide ribosomal RNA is filed under the name uncultured bacterium. RNAcentral's name for it is "partial 16S ribosomal RNA". It matches the Rfam family "Bacterial small subunit ribosomal RNA", at positions 523 to 796 of the family's 1533-position model. The record is from RNAcentral.